RNAcentral lists this ribosomal RNA (307 nucleotides) under uncultured bacterium. Its description in RNAcentral is "partial 16S ribosomal RNA". It matches the Rfam family "Bacterial small subunit ribosomal RNA", at positions 506 to 807 of the family's 1533-position model. The record is from RNAcentral.
AGACAGCAGUCGCCGCGGUAAUACAGAGGGUGCGAGCGUUAAUCGGAUUUACUGGGCGUAAAGCGUGCGUAGGCGGCUUCUUAAGUCGGAUGUGAAAUCCCUGAGCUUAACUUAGGAAUUGCAUUCGAUACUGGGAAGCUAGAGUAUGGGAGAGGAUGGUAGAAUUCCAGGUGUAGCGGUGAAAUGCGUAGAGAUCUGGAGGAAUACCGAUGGCGAAGGCAGCCAUCUGGCCUAAUACUGACGCUGAGGUACGAAAGCAUGGGGAGCAAACAGGGUUAGAUACCCGAGUAGUCCCUGUCUCUUAUAC